GACGAACGCUGGCGGCGUGCUUAACACAUGCAAGUCGAACGGAAAGGCCCUGCUUUUGUGGGGUGCUCGAGUGGCGAACGGGUGAGUAACACGUGAGUAACCUGCCCUUGACUUUGGGAUAACUUCAGGAAACUGGGGCUAAUACCGGAUAGGAGCUCCUGCCGCAUGGUGGGGGUUGGAAAGUUUCGGCGGUUGGGGAUGGACUCGCGGCUUAUCAGCUUGUUGGUGGGGUAGUGGCUUACCAAGGCUUUGACGGGUAGCCGGCCUGAGAGGGUGACCGGCCACAUUGGGACUGAGAUACGGCCCAGACUCCUACGGGAGGCAGCAGUGGGGAAUAUUGCACAAUGGGCGGAAGCCUGAUGCAGCAACGCCGCGUGCGGGAUGACGGCCUUCGGGUUGUAAACCGCUUUCGCCUGUGACGAAGCGUGAGUGACGGUAAUGGGUAAAGAAGCACCGGCUAACUACGUGCCAGCAGCCGCGGUGAUACGUAGGGUGCGAGCGUUGUCCGGAUUUAUUGGGCGUAAAGGGCUCGUAGGUGGUUGAUCGCGUCGGAAGUGUAAUCUUGGGGCUUAACCCUGAGCGUGCUUUCGAUACGGGUUGACUUGAGGAAGGUAGGGGAGAAUGGAAUUCCUGGUGGAGCGGUGGAAUGCGCAGAUAUCAGGAGGAACACCAGUGGCGAAGGCGGUUCUCUGGGCCUUUCCUGACGCUGAGGAGCGAAAGCGUGGGGAGCGAACAGGCUUAGAUACCCUGGUAGUCCACGCUGUAAACGGUGGGUACUAGGUGUGGGGUCCAUUCCACGGGUUCCGUGCCGUAGCUAACGCUUUAAGUACCCCGCCUGGGGAGUACGGCCGCAAGGCUAAAACUCAAAGGAAUUGACGGGGCCCCGCACAAGCGGCGGAGCAUGCGGAUUAAUUCGAUGCAACGCGUAGAACCUUACCUGGGUUUGACAUGGAUCGGGAGUGCUCAGAGAUGGGUGUGCCUCUUUUGGGGUCGGUUCACAGGUGGUGCAUGGCUGUCGUCAGCUCGCGUCGUGAGAUGUUGGGUUAAGUCCCGCAACGAGCGCAACCCUUGUUCACUGUUGCCAGCACGUUAUGGUGGGGACUCAGUGGAGACCGCCGGGGUCAACUCGGAGGAAGGUGGGGAUGACGUCAAGUCAUCAUGCCCCUUAUGUCCAGGGCUUCACGCAUGCUACAAUGGCUGGUACAGAGAGUGGCGAGCCUGUGAGGGUGAGCGAAUCUCGGAAAGCCGGUCUCAGUUCGGAUUGGGGUCUGCAACUCGACCUCAUGAAGUCGGAGUCGCUAGUAAUCGCAGAUCAGCAACGCUGCGGUGAAUACGUUCCCGGGGCU
Molecule: ribosomal RNA, 1346 nt
Filed under: uncultured bacterium
Lineage: Bacteria
Description: partial 16S ribosomal RNA
Rfam family: Bacterial small subunit ribosomal RNA
Source: RNAcentral